This 490-nucleotide ribosomal RNA is filed under the name uncultured bacterium. Its description in RNAcentral is "partial 16S ribosomal RNA". It matches the Rfam family "Bacterial small subunit ribosomal RNA", at positions 30 to 507 of the family's 1533-position model. The record is from RNAcentral.
AUUGAACGCUGGCGGCAGGCCUAACACAUGCAAGUCGAACGGUAACAGGGAUCAGCUUGCUGAUUCGCUGACGAGUGGCGGACGGGUGAGUAAUGUCUGGGAAACUGCCUGAUGGAGGGGGAUAACUACUGGAAACGGUAGCUAAUACCGCAUAACGUCGCAAGACCAAAGAGGGGGACCUUCGGGCCUCUUGCCAUCGGCUGUGCCCAGAUGGGAUUAGCUAGUAGGUGGGGUAACGGCUCACCUAGGCGACGAUCCCUAGCUGGUCUGAGAGGAUGACCAGCCACACUGGAACUGAGACACGGUCCAGACUCCUACGGGAGGCAGCAGUGGGGAAUAUUGCACAAUGGGCGCAAGCCUGAUGCAGCCAUGCCGCGUGUAUGAAGAAGGCCUUCGGGUUGUAAAGUACUUUCAGCGGGGAGGAAGGGAGUAAAGUUAAUACCUUUGCUCAUUGACGUUACCCGCAGAAGAAGCACCGGCUGACUCCGUG